RNAcentral lists this ribosomal RNA (484 nucleotides) under uncultured bacterium. RNAcentral's name for it is "partial 16S ribosomal RNA". It matches the Rfam family "Bacterial small subunit ribosomal RNA", at positions 30 to 507 of the family's 1533-position model. The record is from RNAcentral.
AUUGAACGCUGGCGGCAGGCCUAACACAUGCAAGUCGAGCGGAUGAAGGGAGCUUGCUCCUGGAUUCAGCGGCGGACGGGUGAGUAAUGCCUAGGAAUCUGCCUGGUAGUGGGGGAUAACGUCCGGAAACGGGCGCUAAUACCGCAUACGUCCUGAGGGAGAAAGUGGGGGAUCUUCGGACCUCACGCUAUCAGAUGAGCCUAGGUCGGAUUAGCUAGUUGGUGGGGUAAAGGCCUACCAAGGCGACGAUCCGUAACUGGUCUGAGAGGAUGAUCAGUCACACUGGAACUGAGACACGGUCCAGACUUCUAAGGGAGGCAGCAGUGGGGAAUAUUGGACAAUGGGCGAAAGCCUGAUCCAGCCAUGCCGCGUGUGUGAAGAAGGUCUUCGGAUUGUAAAGCACUUUAAGUUGGGAGGAAGGGCAGUAAGUUAAUACCUUGCUGUUUUGACGUUACCAACAGAAUAAGCACCGGCUAACUUCGUG